This 79-nucleotide transfer RNA is filed under the name Chamaepetes goudotii. RNAcentral's name for it is "tRNA-Trp". The record is from RNAcentral. Lineage: Eukaryota; Metazoa; Chordata; Aves; Galliformes; Cracidae.
AGAAACUUAGGAUAACCCAAACCCUCCAAACCGGAGGCCUUCAAAGCCUCAAAUAAGAGUUAAACCCUCUUAGUUUCUG